UCCCAAUUCCUAGUUCUCUACUUAUAUCAAAACAACAAUGGCAAAGAUUAAAAAACACUGGAUUCUUGCUUAUUGCUUGCAAAACUGACUAGUUAACAUAACAAUAGUACCUCUACACCUCACCUACAAGUAGGAAUGAUUUCUUCCUCUACAUCUCUUGUCCACAAGGACCACUCCAACUGCACUGCUAUUAGAUGUACCUAGUUUCAAACCUCUCCAUCAUUCUCUCCCAAGUUUUCAAAUGUCUUGAAAACAUUUACAUAAUAUUAUUGCAGUAAAAUGACUUUGAUCAUAUAGAUAGAAGUCACAUUACUCCACCACAAUAUAGCCUUUAUGUUUCUACUUGUUCUAUUUGUUUUCUGUAUGAGUGUGUGAUUCUAGUAUCUGUUGUAGACUUUUACAUUCUAUCGGUAUGAAUGAGCUAGGAAAAUUUAGUUAUGGGUAUUGUUGAAACUAUCGAGUUUCUUUUGUUGGUUUAAAAUGAAAUUGAGAUUUCUAUUCAAUUUGAGGAAAGUUCUGGAAUAAUAUGUUUGUUACACUUGUAGCAUGUUGGACCUAAAACUCUAGAGGUCUUUGCAUUGCUUGAUUUUUUGAGGUUUUCUCCCCAUAUUUUGACAAUACUGUGCCUAUUUGUCGAGACAAGGUAGAAAAUAAUUAAAAUUUUAAGCAUCUUAUUGUCUUCAAUUGGAUGUGGUACUUAAUUUUGAGCAUGGUGGAGACUUCUUUUUGGCAUUUGGUUGCUUUAUAAUUCACCUCUGUUUGGGUUCAAAGUUUAGAAGACAUGAAACUUCUUGUAGUCAUUUUUUUUUUAAAAUAAUAUAUAUAAACAUAUUUUCUCAGUCUAUCAAAUUAUUUGUAAGAUUAUUGUUGCUUUUGUCUGUCUAUCAAAUUUCAUUUUUCUUUCUUUCUCUCAUUCAAUGCCCUCACUCUCGCACUUUCUCACUCUCUUUUUUGUUUCUUUUCAUUUCAUCUCUCUUAAUUAGCGAUACUGACGCACCUUAACAUUCUGAGAUCAGGGUUCUAGGGAGGAACCGUUUACAGGUGAAUUCCAAUUUGCAGUGGUGAAUAUCAAAGCUUUCAAGAGAUUUCGUUUUGUCCACACAUGGAAAAACCAGGAUCAUCUUCCUUUGGUAGUCCUAUAUACUCUCCUCAAAUGCAUGUUCACCUUUCAAAGAAAGAGAAGAAGAAGAAGAAGAAGAAGAAGAAGAAGAAGAAGAAGUAAAAAGGUAAAAGUACCAUUGGAAAAAAAAAAGAAAAGGACCAUAAGGACAAUUUAUAUCCAAGUUUGUGAUCUAGGAAUUUGAUUGUUUUGACAUUGGCUUCUUUUUAAUUUUUAAAUAUUUUUUUCAUAGUGGUUAAGAGACUUUUAUCUCCAUUGAAAAGGACAAUAGAAAGUAGCCUUCAUUAAAUACCUAACAAGUUGUAUAUAUCUAAGUUUGUGAUCUAGGAACCUGGUUUGGAAGAUAACUUUCACUCCCUCUAUAAUGCCUUCAAUUGUCAACAAUAAUAGGUAUGGUUAUAGUGUUGGCGGUUGGUGACAGUGCUGUAAUAAUGGAGGAGUUGGGUGAGGAAAGAAGAUAAGGGGAGGACUUGUGAGAAAUCUAUCAACACAUAAAAGAAAACUGAAAAUUUAUCAUCUUGACCUUUAAACUGUACAUUCUGAAUAAUUUUCUAAUUUCUUUUUCUAUGUAUCUAUCUAGACAUGCUCUUAACAACAUCUUGGUAAUGUAUGAAUUUUUUAUUUAUUACCUCAUUCAUUGAUAACACUGAAUUUUAACACUCUUAGAUGCUAAUAAAAUCUCAAAAAUUAAUUGCUACAAUUAUUAUUUUGGUUGUCUUGAAAUCUUGAUUUUUACUUCUACAAUAUUGGAUGACUUGAUUGUUGAACUAUUCUAUGUUUAUAUUCAUUACUGUUUCAUUUCAAAAUUUGAUGGUUUUAAAUAUUACAAGUGAUGCUUCUUCAAGUUUUAAGUAUUGUGCAUAAGUAUUGGGUACAAAUUCUUCAAUUUAUUUUUAUUUUCGCGAAUCUGAUUGCAGUUUAUAUUCUGAUGUAGGCAUGUAGACCAGUGAAGACUAACAAUGAACUCUCUCAUUAAUUUGAAUUUAACUCUUCCAAGCUUGAAAUUUAUGUUAUAAGCAAGAAUAGAUUUUUGAAACACAAUCUAGUAAAGUUCAAUAGAGUCUCUUACUCUGAUGAUAUCUUGAGUUGGGGAUAAUUUUUGUGGUAAUAAUUUGCCAUCACUUGUAUAGUUAGAUCCAUCAUUAUAGCUCAACACUUCUUUUUCUGCUAAUGUCUUUACUAAAACAUGAUUUGUAGAUAUGUUAUUUUGUGGCUAAAGGUGAUUGGAUAUUAAAUU
Camellia sinensis is the source of this 2357-nucleotide non-coding RNA. The record is from RefSeq and is a predicted model, not a curated record. NCBI's taxonomy places the organism in Eukaryota, Viridiplantae, Streptophyta, Magnoliopsida, Ericales, Theaceae.